RNAcentral lists this ribosomal RNA (213 nucleotides) under uncultured bacterium. Its description in RNAcentral is "partial 16S ribosomal RNA". It matches the Rfam family "Bacterial small subunit ribosomal RNA", at positions 118 to 334 of the family's 1533-position model. The record is from RNAcentral.
UCGGAACAUGUCCUCGAGUGGGGGAUAACGUAGCGAAAGUUACGCUAAUACCGCAUACGCACUAUGGUGGAAAGCAGGGGAUCGCAAGACCUUGCGCUCAUGGAGUGGCCGAUGUCAGAUUAGCUUGUUGGUGGGGUAAAAGCCCACCAAGGCGACGAUCUGUAGCUGGUCUGAGAGGACGACCAGCCACACUGGAACUGAGACACGGUCCAG